RNAcentral lists this microRNA precursor (104 nucleotides) under Marmota monax (woodchuck). Lineage: Eukaryota; Metazoa; Chordata; Mammalia; Rodentia; Sciuridae. The record is from RNAcentral.
AUACAAAUGACCUGGAAAUCUUAUUUAAAUGCAGAUUCUGAUUUAAUAGAUCUUGAAUGGGGCCUAAGAUUCUCAUUUCCGACAGGCUUCUAGGUGACAUUAAU